RNAcentral lists this transfer RNA (72 nucleotides) under Ovis aries (sheep). It matches the Rfam family "tRNA". Rfam says of the family: Transfer RNA (tRNA) molecules are approximately 80 nucleotides in length. Their secondary structure includes four short double-helical elements and three loops (D, anti-codon, and T loops). Lineage: Eukaryota; Metazoa; Chordata; Mammalia; Artiodactyla; Bovidae. The record is from Rfam by way of RNAcentral.
UCCCAGGUGGUCCAGUGAUUAGGACUUGACACUUUCACUGUUGUAGCCUGGGUUCAAUUCCUAGCCAGGAGA